Molecule: ribosomal RNA, 425 nt
Filed under: uncultured rumen bacterium
Lineage: Bacteria
Description: bacterial SSU rRNA
Rfam family: Bacterial small subunit ribosomal RNA
Source: RNAcentral
GUGGGGAAUAUUGGUCAAUGGCCGAGAGGCUGAACCAGCCAUGCCGCGUGCGGGAAGACGGCCCUAUGGGUUGUAAACCGCUUUUGUCGGGGAGCAAUAAGUCUUACGAGUAAGAUGAUGAGAGUACCUGGCGAAUAAGCAUCGGCUAACUCCGUGCCAGCAGCCGCGGUAAUACGGAGGAUGCAAGCGUUAUCCGGAUUUAUUGGGUUUAAAGGGUGCGUAGGCGGGAUUUUAAGCGUGAGGUGAAAUGCCACGGCUCAACCGUGGAACUGCCUCGCGAACUGGGAUUCUUGAAUGCCCCUGCCGUGGGAGGAAUGUGUGGUGUAGCGGUGAAAUGCAUAGAGAUCACACAGAACACCGAUUGCGAAGGCAUCUCACGAAGGGGUGAUUGACGCUGAGGCACGAAAGCGUGGGGAUCAAACAGG